Long non-coding RNA from Papaver somniferum (opium poppy), 745 nucleotides. RefSeq lists it as uncharacterized. Lineage: Eukaryota; Viridiplantae; Streptophyta; Magnoliopsida; Ranunculales; Papaveraceae. The transcript is spliced from 3 exons. The record is from RefSeq and is a predicted model, not a curated record.
AUCUUCCCAACAAAGAAAUAAAAACAGCAGACAAAAAUCAGAGUGAUAGUUAGGAAUUUUCAGUAAUACAGAUCUCUUCGUUGUCGUGUUUGACUGAUAGCUAGGGUUUGUGUGUUUGCUUGAGCUUAUUUUGUUCGUGAAGGUAAGAAGAAGAAACCACAGACAAAAAUAGAAGAACGAUUGAAGAUAUCCAUCGACGAAUCGAAGCCAUGGAUCAUGAAAACUGGUUGGGGGAUUUCUGGCAUGGAUUGAAGCUGGGUCUUUAUGAAAUUGGUUUUUUGUGCAACCAUGAGGCAAGCCUCUAAUCCGCAACAAGAUGCCUAAUUUGAGCAACUCAAGAUAGUGUGCCUUCUACUUGGUUAUUAUCUGUUGAUGUCAAUGCCAUCAAUAAUCAAAAGGAACUGCAAUGGAUUUAGCAGAAAAACUUGAACAUGGAGAAUCUGCAUUUGAAAUCAAGGAAGCUCUAACAGAAGCUGGUGCCAAGCAUGCAAGAAAUGUUGUUGUUCUCUUUGCUUCCAUUCCUUUCAUGGCUAUAUUCAGUUUGCCAGAGCAGUGCAAUUUUUGUUUGCCAUCACUUGAUUCCGAAGGUUCAAUUAUUAUCUACUACUGUAUAUUACCUUGGUUGGGGUUGAAUUGUUGGAUGCACUGAUGAAGAUUGAGAUAUGAUCAAUGAUUUCAUCAGUAAAUAGCUGUGUUACAACGAUACGCCUAAAAAAAUAAUCAGCCGUAUCGAUACGUAUUUACA